GACGAACGCUGGCGGCGUGCUUAACACAUGCAAGUCGAACGGAAAGGCCCUGCUUUUGUGGGGUGCUCGAGUGGCGAACGGGUGAGUAACACGUGAGUAACCUGCCCUUGACUUUGGGAUAACUUCAGGAAACUGGGGCUAAUACCGGAUAGGAGCUCCUGCUGCAUGGUGGGGGUUGGACAGUUUCGGCGGUUGGGGAUGGACUCGCGGCUUAUCAGCUUGUUGGUGGGGUAGUGGCUUACCAAGGCUUUGACGGGUAGCCGGCCUGAGAGGGUGACCGGCCACAUUGGGACUGAGAUACGGCCCAGACUCCUACGGGAGGCAGCAGUGGGGAAUAUUGCACAAUGGGCGGAAGCCGGAUGCAGCAACGCCGCGUGCGGGAUGACGGCCUUCGGGUUGUAAACCGCUUUCGCCUGUGACGAAGCGUGAGUGACGGUAAUGGGUAAAGAAGCACCGGCUAACUACGUG
RNAcentral lists this ribosomal RNA (468 nucleotides) under uncultured bacterium. Its description in RNAcentral is "partial 16S ribosomal RNA". It matches the Rfam family "Bacterial small subunit ribosomal RNA", at positions 28 to 507 of the family's 1533-position model. The record is from RNAcentral.